Molecule: ribosomal RNA, 2992 nt
Filed under: Salmonella enterica subsp. enterica serovar Typhimurium str. 14028S
Lineage: Bacteria; Pseudomonadati; Pseudomonadota; Gammaproteobacteria; Enterobacterales; Enterobacteriaceae
Description: bacterial LSU rRNA
Rfam family: Bacterial large subunit ribosomal RNA
Source: RNAcentral
GGUUAAGCGACUAAGCGUACACGGUGGAUGCCCUGGCAGUCAGAGGCGAUGAAGGACGUGCUAAUCUGCGAUAAGCGCCGGUAAGGUGAUAUGAACCGUUAUAACCGGCGAUUUCCGAAUGGGGAAACCCAGUGUGAUUCGUCACACUAUCAUUAACUGAAUCCAUAGGUUAAUGAGGCGAACCGGGGGAACUGAAACAUCUAAGUACCCCGAGGAAAAGAAAUCAACCGAGAUUCCCCCAGUAGCGGCGAGCGAACGGGGAGGAGCCCAGAGCCUGAAUCAGCAUGUGUGUUAGUGGAAGCGUCUGGAAAGGCGCGCGAUACAGGGUGACAGCCCCGUACACAAAAGCGCAUGUGCUGUGAGCUCGAUGAGUAGGGCGGGACACGUGGUAUCCUGUCUGAAUAUGGGGGGACCAUCCUCCAAGGCUAAAUACUCCUGACUGACCGAUAGUGAACCAGUACCGUGAGGGAAAGGCGAAAAGAACCCCGGCGAGGGGAGUGAAAAAGAACCUGAAACCGUGUACGUACAAGCAGUGGGAGCACCCUUCGGGGUGUGACUGCGUACCUUUUGUAUAAUGGGUCAGCGACUUAUAUUCUGUAGCAAGGUUAACCGUAUAGGGGAGCCGGAGGGAAACCGAGUCUUAAUUGGGCGUUAAGUUGCAGGGUAUAGACCCGAAACCCGGUGAUCUAGCCAUGGGCAGGUUGAAGGUUGGGUAACACUAACUGGAGGACCGAACCGACUAAUGUUGAAAAAUUAGCGGAUGACCUGUGGCUGGGGGUGAAAGGCCAAUCAAACCGGGAGAUAGCUGGUUCUCCCCGAAAGCUAUUUAGGUAGCGCCUCGUGAAUUCAUCUCCGGGGGUAGAGCACUGUUUCGGCUAGGGGGCCAUCCCGGCUUACCAACCCGAUGCAAACUGCGAAUACCGGAGAAUGUUAUCACGGGAGACACACGGCGGGUGCUAACGUCCGUCGUGAAGAGGGAAACAACCCAGACCGCCAGCUAAGGUCCCAAAGUCAUGGUUAAGUGGGAAACGAUGUGGGAAGGCCCAGACAGCCAGGAUGUUGGCUUAGAAGCAGCCAUCAUUUAAAGAAAGCGUAAUAGCUCACUGGUCGAGUCGGCCUGCGCGGAAGAUGUAACGGGGCUAAACCAUGCACCGAAGCUGCGGCAGCGAACGUAUCACCCAAGACAACUUUACGGAGUUGACGAUUGACGGAGCGAAGCGACGUCAAAGCGUUCAUUAAAGUCGAGUUGGCUUAGGGAUACGUUCGUUGGGUAGGGGAGCGUUCUGUAAGCCUGUGAAGGUGUGUCGUGAGGCAUGCUGGAGGUAUCAGAAGUGCGAAUGCUGACAUAAGUAACGAUAAAGCGGGUGAAAAGCCCGCUCGCCGGAAGACCAAGGGUUCCUGUCCAACGUUAAUCGGGGCAGGGUGAGUCGACCCCUAAGGCGAGGCCGAAAGGCGUAGUCGAUGGGAAACGGGUUAAUAUUCCCGUACUUGGUGUUACUGCGAAGGGGGGACGGAGAAGGCUAUGUUGGCCGGGCGACGGUUGUCCCGGUUUAAGCGUGUAGGUGUGUGUUCCAGGUAAAUCCGGUUCACUUUAACACUGAGGCGUGACGACGAGGCACUACGGUGCUGAAGCAACAAAUGCCCUGCUUCCAGGAAAAGCCUCUAAGCAUCAGGUAACACGAAAUCGUACCCCAAACCGACACAGGUGGUCAGGUAGAGAAUACCAAGGCGCUUGAGAGAACUCGGGUGAAGGAACUAGGCAAAAUGGUGCCGUAACUUCGGGAGAAGGCACGCUGACACGUAGGUGAAGUGAUUUACUCAUGGAGCUGAAGUCAGUCGAAGAUACCAGCUGGCUGCAACUGUUUAUUAAAAACACAGCACUGUGCAAACACGAAAGUGGACGUAUACGGUGUGACGCCUGCCCGGUGCCGGAAGGUUAAUUGAUGGGGUCAGCGUAAGCGAAGCUCCUGAUCGAAGCCCCGGUAAACGGCGGCCGUAACUAUAACGGUCCUAAGGUAGCGAAAUUCCUUGUCGGGUAAGUUCCGACCUGCACGAAUGGCGUAAUGAUGGCCAGGCUGUCUCCACCCGAGACUCAGUGAAAUUGAACUCGCUGUGAAGAUGCAGUGUACCCGCGGCAAGACGGAAAGACCCCGUGAACCUUUACUAUAGCUUGACACUGAACAUUGAGCCUUGAUGUGUAGGAUAGGUGGGAGGCUUUGAAGUGUGGACGCCAGUCUGCAUGGAGCCGACCUUGAAAUACCACCCUUUAAUGUUUGAUGUUCUAACGUGGACCCGUAAUCCGGGUUGCGGACAGUGUCUGGUGGGUAGUUUGACUGGGGCGGUCUCCUCCUAAAGAGUAACGGAGGAGCACGAAGGUUGGCUAAUCCUGGUCGGACAUCAGGAGGUUAGUGCAAUGGCAUAAGCCAGCUUGACUGCGAGCGUGACGGCGCGAGCAGGUGCGAAAGCAGGUCAUAGUGAUCCGGUGGUUCUGAAUGGAAGGGCCAUCGCUCAACGGAUAAAAGGUACUCCGGGGAUAACAGGCUGAUACCGCCCAAGAGUUCAUAUCGACGGCGGUGUUUGGCACCUCGAUGUCGGCUCAUCACAUCCUGGGGCUGAAGUAGGUCCCAAGGGUAUGGCUGUUCGCCAUUUAAAGUGGUACGCGAGCUGGGUUUAGAACGUCGUGAGACAGUUCGGUCCCUAUCUGCCGUGGGCGCUGGAGAACUGAGGGGGGCUGCUCCUAGUACGAGAGGACCGGAGUGGACGCAUCACUGGUGUUCGGGUUGUCAUGCCAAUGGCACUGCCCGGUAGCUAAAUGCGGAAGAGAUAAGUGCUGAAAGCAUCUAAGCACGAAACUUGCCCCGAGAUGAGUUCUCCCUGAGACUUAGAGUCUCCUGAAGGAACGUUGAAGACGACGACGUUGAUAGGCCGGGUGUGUAAGCGCAGCGAUGCGUUGAGCUAACCGGUACUAAUGAACCGUGAGGCUUAACCUUAC